AUUGAACGCUGGCGGCAGGCCUAACACAUGCAAGUCGAGCGGAUGAAGGGAGCUUGCUCCUGGAUUCAGCGGCGGACGGGUGAGUAAUGCCUAGGAAUCUGCCUGGCAGUGGGGGAUAACGUCCGGAAACGGGCGCUAAUACCGCAUACGUCCAGAGGGAGAAAGUGGGGGAUCUUCGGACCUCACGCUAUCUGAUGAGCCUAGGUGGGAUUAGCUAGUUGGUGGGGUAAAGGCCUACCAAGGCGACGAUCCGUAACUGGUCUGAGAGGAUGAUCAGUCACACUGGAACUGAGACACGGUCCAGACUCCUACGGGAGGCAGCAGUGGGGAAUAUUGGACAAUGGGCGAAAGCCUGAUCCAGCCACGCCGCGUGUGUGAAGAAGGUCUUCGGAUUGUAAAGCACUUUUAGUUGGGAGGAAGGGCAGUAAGUUGAUACCUUGCUGUUUUGACGUUACCAACAGAAUAAGCACCGGCUAACUUCGUG
This 484-nucleotide ribosomal RNA is filed under the name uncultured bacterium. Its description in RNAcentral is "partial 16S ribosomal RNA". It matches the Rfam family "Bacterial small subunit ribosomal RNA", at positions 30 to 507 of the family's 1533-position model. The record is from RNAcentral.